UACGUAGGGACCAAGCGUUGUUCGGAAUUACUGGGCGUAAAGAGCGCGUAGGCGGCUUUGUACGUUAGAGGUGAAAGCCCGGAGCUCAACUCCGGAACUGCCUUUAAAACUGCAUCGCUUGAAUCCAGGAGAGGUGAGUGGAAUUCCGAGUGUAGAGGUGAAAUUCGUAGAUAUUCGGAAGAACACCAGUGGCGAAGGCGGCUCACUGGACUGGUAUUGACGCUGAGGUGCGAAAGCGUGGGGAGCAAACAGG
Molecule: ribosomal RNA, 253 nt
Filed under: uncultured bacterium
Lineage: Bacteria
Description: partial 16S ribosomal RNA
Rfam family: Bacterial small subunit ribosomal RNA
Source: RNAcentral